GUCUACGGCCAUGCUACCCUGAAUACGCCUGAUCCCAUCUGAUCUCAGAAGCUAAGCAGAGUUGGGCCUGCUUAGUACUUGGAUGGGAGACCACCUAGGAAGACCAGGUGCUAUAGGCG
RNAcentral lists this ribosomal RNA (119 nucleotides) under Pteropus alecto (black flying fox). The record is from RNAcentral. Lineage: Eukaryota; Metazoa; Chordata; Mammalia; Chiroptera; Pteropodidae.